Molecule: ribosomal RNA, 492 nt
Filed under: Triticum aestivum (bread wheat)
Lineage: Eukaryota; Viridiplantae; Streptophyta; Magnoliopsida; Poales; Poaceae
Description: partial small subunit ribosomal RNA
Source: RNAcentral
AUGGAAACCGGCGCCGUCCUCCUGCCUCGCGGCGCCGCCCGUUCCCCAGCGCCCCACCCCGCCGCCUGCUCCCCAGCACAGGCCGGCGAGCAGCGCGACCCCUUCCCUUCAGCGCCUCCUCACUCUAGGCAGCACGGCCUCCUCCCUCUGGCGCCUCCUCUCUCCGGCGAGCAGCACGGCGCAGACGGCGUGAACAACGCGGCCGGCAUGGCGGCUUCCUCACUCCGGCGAGCAGCGUGGCUGUCUUACUCCGGCGAGCAGCGCGACUGGCGUGGGUUCCUACCUCCAUCACCUCCUCACACGGACGAGCAGCGCGGGCGGCGCGGCCUCCUCACUCCGGCGAGCAGCGUGGGCCGUGCGGCGCGGGCUCCUCCCUCUGGUGCCUCCUCACUCCGGCAAGCAGCGCGACCUCCUCCUUCCGGCGCCUCCUCACUUCGGCGUGGCCUCCAUCCAGCGUGGCCUCCCUCCGGCAGCAGCGCUUUUCUCCGGUGA